RNAcentral lists this ribosomal RNA (440 nucleotides) under uncultured bacterium. RNAcentral describes it as "partial 16S ribosomal RNA". It matches the Rfam family "Bacterial small subunit ribosomal RNA", at positions 338 to 795 of the family's 1533-position model. The record is from RNAcentral.
CCUACGGGUGGCUGCAGUGGGGGAUAUUGCACAAUGGGGGGAACCCUGAUGCAGCGACGCCGCGUGGGUGAAGAAGCGCCUCGGCGCGUAAAGCCCUGUCAGCAGGGAAGAAAAUGACGGUACCUGAAGAAGAAGCCCCGGCUAACUACGUGCCAGCAGCCGCGGUAAUACGUCGGGGGCAAGCGUUAUCCGGACUUACUGGGUGGAAGGGGGGCGCAGGCGGAGAUGCAAGCCAGGAGUGAAAGCCCGGGGCCCAACCCCGGGACUGCUGUGGGAAGUGGGUGGCUGGAGUGCAGGAGAGGCAGGCGGAAUUCCUGGUGUAGCGGUGAAAUGCGUAGAUAUCAGGAGGAACACCGGUGGCGAAGGCGGCCUGCUGGACUGCAACUGACGUUGAGGCCCGAAAGCGUGGGGAGCAAACAGGAUUAGAUACCCCGGUAGUC